Molecule: ribosomal RNA, 253 nt
Filed under: uncultured bacterium
Lineage: Bacteria
Description: partial 16S ribosomal RNA
Rfam family: Bacterial small subunit ribosomal RNA
Source: RNAcentral
UACAUGGGGUGCAAACGUUGCUCGGAAUUAUUGGGCGUAAAGCGCACGUAGGCGGUUCGUUAAGUCGGAUGUGAAAGCCCUCGGCUCAACUGAGGAAGUGCACCCGAAACUGGCGAGCUUGAGUACGAAAGAGGAUCGCGGAAUUCCCGGUGUAGAGGUGAAAUUCGUAGAUAUCGGGAGGAACACCGGUGGCGAAGGCGGCGAUCUGGGUCGAUACUGACGCUCAGGCGCGACAGCGUGGGGAUCAAACAGG